RNAcentral lists this ribosomal RNA (703 nucleotides) under uncultured archaeon. Its description in RNAcentral is "bacterial SSU rRNA". It matches the Rfam family "Archaeal small subunit ribosomal RNA", at positions 143 to 828 of the family's 1478-position model. The record is from RNAcentral.
GCGGCUAUACGCGAUUGGUGAUGUCAUCUGGAAGGAGACAUCGCUCAAAGGGUGGUGCAGGUAUGCUCUGUACCAAGCGCUCCAGGAUGGGACUGCGGCCGAUCAGGCUGUUGGCGGGGCAAUGGCCCACCAAACCUGUAACCGGUACGGGCUUUGAGAGAAGGAGCCCGGAGAUGGACACUGAGACAAGGUUCCAGGCCCUACGGGGCGCAUCAGGCGCGGAAACUUCGCAAUGCGCGAAAGCGUGACGAGGCUAGUCCGAGUGUCGUCCGCUGAGGAUGACUUUUCUUUGCUGUAAAUAGGCAGGGGAAUAAGGGGAGGGCAAGUCUGGUGUCAGCCGCCGCGGUAAUACCAGCUCCUCGAGUGGUCAGGACGAUUAUUGGGCCUAAAGCACCCGUAGCCGGUUCCAUAAGUCCUCUGUUAAAUCCAACCGCUCAACGGUUGACCUGCAGAGGAUACUGCGGGACUAGGAGGCGGGAGAGGCGGACGGUACUCCGUGGGUAGGGGUAAAAUCCUUUGAUCCGCGGAAGACCACCAGUGGCGAAGGCGGUCCGCCAGAACGCGCUCGACGGUGAGGGGUGAAAGCUGGGGGAGCGAACCGGAUUAGAUACCCGGGUAGUCCCAGCCGUAAACGAUGCGAGCUAGAUGAUUCAAUCGCAGUUCGCGAUUGAAGUGUCGCAGGGAAGCCGUUAAGCUCGCCGCC